CGGACGGGUGAGUAACGCGUGGGUAACCUGCCUUAUACAGGGGGAUAACAGUCAGAAAUGACUGCUAAUACCGCAUAAGCGCACAGGACCGCAUGGUCUGGUGUGAAAAACUCCGGUGGUAUAAGAUGGACCCGCGUUGGAUUAGCUUGUUGGUGAGGUAACGGCUCACCAAGGCGACGAUCCAUAGCCGGCCUGAGAGGGUGAACGGCCACAUUGGGACUGAGACACGGCCCAG
RNAcentral lists this ribosomal RNA (235 nucleotides) under uncultured bacterium. RNAcentral's name for it is "partial 16S ribosomal RNA". It matches the Rfam family "Bacterial small subunit ribosomal RNA", at positions 99 to 334 of the family's 1533-position model. The record is from RNAcentral.